RNAcentral lists this unclassified non-coding RNA (253 nucleotides) under uncultured Parvularculaceae bacterium. RNAcentral describes it as "contains 16S-23S intergenic spacer region". It matches the Rfam family "Bacterial small subunit ribosomal RNA", at positions 524 to 776 of the family's 1533-position model. Lineage: Bacteria; Pseudomonadati; Pseudomonadota; Alphaproteobacteria; Parvularculales; Parvularculaceae. The record is from RNAcentral.
UACGAAAGGGGCUAGCGUUGUUCGGAAUUACUGGGCGUAAAGCGCACGUAGGCGGCCAUGUAAGUUGGGGGUGAAAUCCCGGGGCUCAACUCCGGAACUGCCUUCAAAACUACAUGGCUCGAGGAUGCGAGAGGUUGGCGGAAUUCCGAGUGUAGAGGUGAAAUUCGUAGAUAUUCGGAAGAACACCGGUGGCGAAGGCGGCCAACUGGCGCAUUUCUGACGCUGAGGUGCGAAAGCGUGGGGAGCAAACAGG